Molecule: ribosomal RNA, 253 nt
Filed under: uncultured bacterium
Lineage: Bacteria
Description: partial 16S ribosomal RNA
Rfam family: Bacterial small subunit ribosomal RNA
Source: RNAcentral
UACAGAGGAGCCAAGCGUUGUCCGGAUUGACUGGGCGUAAAGCGCACGCAGGCGGUUGCGCGCGUGGGGUGUGAAAUCUGGCCGCUUAACGGCCAGGCGCCAUCCCAUACGGCGCGACUGGAGUGAUGCAGAGGUCGAUGGAAUUGCCGGUGUAGUGGUGAAAUGCGUAGAUACAAUCAAGAACUCCGAUUGCGUAGGCAGCUAACUAGGCUGUAACUGACGCUGAGGCACGAAAGCGUGGGGAGCGAACAGG